UUUCUUUGCUGUCCUCUCAAAGAGGUUAAAUAUUAUUUUCAUAAUGAGUUAUAAUUGAGAAGUUUUCUCAUGUCAAAUAUAAAAACAAAAUAAUAUAGUUCAUUGACUCACUUAUGUCUUACCAGCCUUUUUAUUACAAAUUAUUGUAUAGUCAACACUUUAAAGUGUGUCCUAUUUUUUCCUAAGUUUUAUCAAUAGAUGAUGAUAUUGAUGAUGAAAUGUGUGAUGAUGAUCAUUUAAAGGCUUAUUUUGAAUAACUGGCAAUUCCAUGAGUGACGGCAUUAAACAUAUGAAGAUCUAGAAGGACUGGAACCUCCAGAAAAAGACUGGAUAUUACCUGCAAGUGCUCCUAGUCAGGAAUGUUCCAGUCUUUAUGGCUUUUCCAAAAUUUGACAUUAGAAAAUCACUAUCAUUCUCAUUGGAUGUUCACAUGAAAUUUAAGCCUCUGGUUUUCUUUGGACUCCAUUUUUUUCCAGAGUGAUUCGCAGUCUAGAUACAUCUGAUUGCUCCCCUGCCUGGACUAGAUGAGAUUAAGCAUUUUUGCAAGAAUACAGAUGAAACAGUUUCCAAUGAGUGGAUUCAGAUUAAACAUGGGCAGCGUGGUGUACUUCUCAUUGCCUCACACCAGGAGACGUUUGAGUCUGUCUGUCCCAUGAUGUGUGAUGCUGUAUUUGGUGAUUUUGGCUAAGGUGGAGUCAGCUAGACAUCUCUUUGUGAAGGCAAAUAAAAACCGCAGUUUAAACUCUACGUUUCAAUCAGAACCUGGGACUAGAAAAUGCAAGAAAAUAUGUUCCGGUGAAGACCCUCAGGCUACCAGUGUGACACUCAGCUCUGUUAAUUUUCAUGAUGCAAAUGCCCACAAAAGUGGUUUUGACCUGACUGACCCUGUAUGAGGAGGCACAGUCUCCUCACCAGCAUAAGCACGUGGCAUCAGAUGCGGAGACAGUUGUGGACACGGAUGGAUGUUUACACACUGAGACUCCUUCAGUGUCCCUUCAAGAAAAUGUGGACACAGUGUCUCUGAAGCCUAUUAGUGACCAUAGAAAUAAUUUCACUAAUACCUUUCGGUCACCAACUUGUGAAAAGAGAACAUGUGAAUAUCAUGAGUCCGUUGAAAAAAGACAAGUGAUACCACCAAUGAGAUGAGCACCACAAUUAUUCAAGCCAGCCCAGCCCCAUCCGAGGAAUAGGCUGUGGAAAAAUUGAGAGAAAAAGUUUCAUUUCAGAAUAUAGGAAAAGGAACAUAAAGGAACAUUACCAUCUAUGAUCCCAAACAACUCUGAUAUGAAAAAAUGACUGCAACUACUUCUCUGAGUAGCAAGCCUAAAGAUGUAAAACCUAACCUUAGAUCGAGUGAAGAUCCUUCCUCCAAAAGUGGAGAUCUGUUGGAACCCAGUGUGGUGGAUUGGACGUCAAACCUCAAGAAAGUGGACCCGAUCAGGCUGGCUCUCCUGAGCAAGUCAGGUCUGAGUCGUCAGACGGGGUCAGCUGCUCACACCUCCUUGUGUCCUGUCAGGAGACUGUAGAUGAUGAUCAAAGAAUCAUCACUAAAGCUACGUCAACUGCACGUAGUGAGCUCAGAGGCCAGGACCUGUUCCCAGCAGAACCAUUCAUGGCUCUGCAGCUGAGACACAGAACAUGCCUGUUGCGGUGCCUGCACUCUUGAUGUGACCCCUCCCAGCACAGCUUCCUUCAGCAGGAGGUAUUUAAGAACACUCCCUUCAGCUGGAAGUGUCGCCUUGCCUCAGUGCCAGGCUGGCAGGGCCAUAGCCUGUAGCUUCUCAGGAGACCUUCCCUAUCCAGCUGUCACGGGAGAGCAUUUGCAGAACUCUGUGGCUGUGGAAUUUGGGACCAAAUACUGGCUCUGGAUGGAUGGGUACCUCUUCCAUCUGCAACCCAUAUUCUGAUACCUCACGUCAGAACCUGCUAAGCACAGCGAAACCUUUUCCUGUGCAUUCUAUUGGUACGAACUGGAAAGAAAGCACGAGACUUAGGAAUGACAUCAGCAUUGGACUUUCUUGCAAAAAUGCCUGUUCGGGAUUCCUCAGAGUGCAGAUAAAAAGGAAGGCUUGAUCAGCAUAUGGUAGAUCUGAAGAUUCAAAGAAGUGCCAUGGCUCAAAAGUAGACACUUUGGUAAAUGUGAAGAAGUGAGAUUCAAUGAAGAUGAUCAAGAAAUGAAGGUGUCACCAGAAGUGGGCAUGUGUAGCUAUGCUUGUCACACAAAAUGGGCUUUCAGUCAAAAAAGCACAAAAAUAGAAAAUAAAGGUAAAAUGAUAAAGGGAUCAAUUCAGCAAGAAGGUAGGACAGUUGUCAAUGUAAACACACCUGACACGGGAGCCCCAGUUAUUAAAGUAAGAGUUAUUCGAGCAACAGACAGAGACAGACAAUAAUAGCUGGGGACUCCAACACCCACUUUCAGCAACAGACACACCCUCUAGGCAGAAAAACGACAAAGACCAGACUGACUCCAAGAUAAGACAAAGGGACCUCACAGGUAAUUAGAGAACAUUUCACCCACCAACUGCAGAAUGUGCAUUCUUCUCAUCAGCUCACAUAACAUUCUCCAGGAUAGACCACACUUUAGGCCACAAAACAAAUCUCAAAAAAGCAUUUAAAAAAUGAAAAUCAUAGCAAGUAUCUUCUCAGACCAAAAUGGCAUAAAAUUAAAAGCCAAUAACAAGAGAAACAUUGGAAACUCUCCAGGUACAUGGUAUAUAAAUAAUGGUAAUGGUCAGUGAAGAAAUCAAAAAGGAAAGUAAAAACAUUUCUUGAAAAAAAAAAAGGAAACAAAACAGAAAAAAACAUAGGUAUUUUUGAAGUAAAAAAUGCAGAACAAUAAAACAAUUCAAAGAUAGAAUAAAAUAAA
This is a long non-coding RNA of Pongo pygmaeus (Bornean orangutan), 2866 nucleotides long. RefSeq lists it as uncharacterized. The record is from RefSeq and is a predicted model, not a curated record. The transcript has 6 exons. NCBI's taxonomy places the organism in Eukaryota, Metazoa, Chordata, Mammalia, Primates, Hominidae.